GUGAGUCAUCGAAUCUUUGAACGCACAUUGCGCCCCUCGGUAUUCCGUGGGGCAUGCCUGUUCGAGCGUCAUUUACCCCCUCAAGCCCAGCUUGGUGUUGGGUGCUUGUCCCGCCCCCGCGCGGCGACUCACCUCAAAGUCAUUGGCAGCCCGCAUCCGCCGGCCGAGAGCGCAGCACAGACGCGCCCGCGGCCCCGGCGGCUCGGCUCUCCAGAAGCUUAUCUUGACCACAAUUGACCUCGGAUCAGGUAGGGAUACCCGCUGAACUUAAGCAUAUCAAUAAGCGGAGGA
Molecule: unclassified non-coding RNA, 291 nt
Filed under: Roussoella sp.
Lineage: Eukaryota; Fungi; Ascomycota; Dothideomycetes; Pleosporales; Thyridariaceae
Description: partial contains 5.8S ribosomal RNA, internal transcribed spacer 2, and large subunit ribosomal RNA
Rfam family: 5.8S ribosomal RNA (bases 1-71)
Source: RNAcentral